UACAGAGGUGGCAAGCGUUGUUCGGCUUCAUUGGGCGUAAAGGGUGUGUAGGUGGCGCGCUAAGUCGGGUGUGAAAUUUCGGAGCUUAACUCCGAAACUGCAUUCGAUACUGCCGUGCUUGAGGACUGGAGAGGAGACUGGAAUUUACGGUGUAGCGGUGAAAUGCGCAGAUAUCAGGAAGAACACCCGUGGCGAAGGCGGCUUUCUGGGACGGUACUGACGCUGAGACGCGAAAGCGUGGGGAGCGAACAGG
RNAcentral lists this ribosomal RNA (253 nucleotides) under uncultured bacterium. RNAcentral's name for it is "partial 16S ribosomal RNA". It matches the Rfam family "Bacterial small subunit ribosomal RNA", at positions 524 to 776 of the family's 1533-position model. The record is from RNAcentral.